This 252-nucleotide ribosomal RNA is filed under the name uncultured bacterium. RNAcentral describes it as "partial 16S ribosomal RNA". It matches the Rfam family "Bacterial small subunit ribosomal RNA", at positions 524 to 776 of the family's 1533-position model. The record is from RNAcentral.
UACGAAGGGGACUAGCGUUGUUCGGAUUUACUGGGCGUAAAGCGCGCGUAGGCGGAUCGCUAAGUCAGGGGUGAAAUCCCAGGCUCAACCCUGGAACUGCCUUUGAUACUGACGAUCUGGAGAUCGGGAGAGGUUGGUGGAAUUCCGAGUGUAGAGGUGAAAUUCGUAGAUAUUCGGAGGAACACCAGAAGCGAAGGCGGCCAACUGGCCCGAUACUGACGCUGAGACGCGAAAGCGUGGGGAGCAAACAGG